This 2187-nucleotide unclassified non-coding RNA is filed under the name Hevea brasiliensis (rubber tree). Lineage: Eukaryota; Viridiplantae; Streptophyta; Magnoliopsida; Malpighiales; Euphorbiaceae. The record is from RNAcentral.
UCUCUCUCUCUCUCUCUCUCUUUGCCCAAAGCUGUAAAACAGUACACACCUUUACACUUCCCCACCCACAUCACCAUAACCCUUCAUCUUGUAGUAAUGGAUUUCGCCGCUCUCGUUUCCCACCUCCACUUCUUUCCUUUUCUUUCUCACCUUCCUUUUUUCUGUGUCCUAGGCAACUCUCCUGAAUAAUUUCUACUCUCGCUCUCUCUUUCUUUCUAAUUAUUAUGGGUUAUCUCUCUUGCAAUGCAGAGUCUGCAAUAGCCACCUGCGAUCCCUACAACUGGGAUCGCAAGAGAAGGAAAAAUAAAACCAACGGAAACAAACCCAAUAAGCCCAUUAAGAUCAGGGACUUCACUUACCCGGAGCUAUUAAAAGCCACCAAUGGGUUCUCCGCUGAGAGUUUUCUUGGCAAAGGCAGCCACGGGUGCGUCUAUAAAGCUUCUCUAGACGAUGGUAAGCUUAUAGCCGCCGUCAAGAAGACCUAUCGAAACCCAUCAAUAAGCAUCCACAGUAACUGCACCACUUGCACAACUCCUGCAGAGAACGAGAUUGAGAUACUCUCCAGAGUACAGCACCCGAGGCUCGUUAACCUCAUAGGCUUCUGCGUAGAUUCUAAAGACAGGAAAUUACUAGUUGUAGAAUACAUGCCAAAUGGUUCUUUAUACGAUCUUUUACACUGUAGCUCCAGGCCGCCCAGUUGGACCAGGCGUAUCCGGUUUGCUUUGCAAAUAGCCAAGGCUGUUCAAGCUUUGCACUUGGCGAACACGCCGGUGAUUCACAGAGACAUAAAAUCGUCAAAUGUGUUGAUCGACGAGAACUGGAACGCGAGGCUUGGAGAUUUCGGGCUCGCCUUGAGAGGACACGUGGAGGAUGUACGAGUCAAGUGCACGCCGCCGGCAGGGACUUUAGGGUACCUUGACCCAGGUUAUCUUGCGCCGAGCGAUUUAAGCACCAAGAGCGACGUUUUCAGUUUUGGGAUCCUACUGUUGGAGGUGAUCAGUGGCAGAAAUGCAAUUGAUGUCAACUACAGCCCACCAUCUAUCGUCGACUGGGCAGUACCGUUGAUAAAGCGCGGGGAUUUCUCCAGUAUUUGUGAUCAUAGAAUCGGGUCGCCGGUGGACCCUGGAGUGAUAAAGAAUCUGGCAAUUCUAGCGGCCAGGUGUGUGAGAUCCACUACGGAGAAGCGUCCCGGAAUGACAGAGGUAGUUGAGGGAUUGAAAAUUAUAAGUAAGAGAGUUCAUGCGCCGCACAUAUGGAAUAGCUUGAGGAGGCGCGUGGGACUAGCGGAAGAAUCGCGGCCAUUUGAGGCGGCAAUUGAUUCAAAUGAAGAGGUUGUUAACGCUAACAAGGCUACUAGUAGAGUGGGGAGCAGAAGAAACAGAAAAGUAUCGAGUGUUUCGAGUGUAGAGUUUGGAAAUGAAACGAUUGGAUGGGCAGGGGAGCGGGUAAUCAGAUCAAAAUCCAUUGGUUCAUUCGGCGAUACAAAACUGGAUGGAUCUGAAUCAAGAAGGAAUGCAAGUGUAGCAGUGAAAAUCCCACUAGUGAAGCUGAGCAAGUCAAGGUCCACGGGAGUACUUCACAGAAGCAUCAAAUCCAGAGAAAUUGAGGCCUCUAUUUCUGAGCUGUUAAUAAGGUUGGACGAGAAGUCAGAGAAAGAGAUGCAAGAGAAGCCACUGGUGAUCUCCAUCUAAAAAACUUGUUGGAUUUGUUUUGAGUUGAUGAAUUUUGAGUAUUCGACCCUGGUGGGUUUUGUUUAUUGGGAUUCAUCAACCCACAACAGAAUCUCUAUAAUCAAUCCAGAAUUCCAAAUUCUUUUGCAUUGGAAUUGUUUUUCUUUUCUUUUUUUUCUACAUUCAAGUUUGUAAUUCUCAGCAUGUCAUCAAUAUUUUCUAAAAUCUAAAAUCUCAGUUUGAAGGGAGUUAACCAUUGUAGGGCAUCAAUGAUGUAGUAUCAAUCAAGUUAAUUGAGAAUAUGUGGUCAAUGCGAACCGUUAUCUAAGCCCUACAAGAGAAGAGUUGGUGUUGUAGCUAACUUCCAAAAACAUUUAAUGCAGAGGGGGGUGCUCAUGACUCUCGUUCGGAAGACAGGCAAACUGUUUGUAUUGCAGAUACAAGCCUGAAGUCAAGGAUUUAACAUUUAAGCCUUCAAAUCCAACAUAUUUUUCUUGAAUAUGCCUUUGAUUUCUUC